AAACUUCUCUCUUAACCCCAACCUCAAUCCCUCGUGUCCAAGAAAUUCUGAAUAUAAAUUUUGUGUCACGUCACUCGUAAGUCCAAGACACACGUUAAGAAGAAUUCGUGCAUUCAGGUCUUCCAAAGUGGGUCCAUGUGGUACUGGACCACUGGUACCUGAAUGCAAUGAGGUCCCUCUUCGCGUGUCUUUUGUAGACCGGUGAUGCGGAACAGAAUUCCUUACCCAAGAAUCUCCGGUCACAUCCCAUAAACUCAAAGACCAAAUAAAUAAAUAAAAAAUGAACAAAACCAUAGUAAACAAAGUUAACAAGAAGCUCAAUUUUCAGAAAAUGAGGGAUCCGGAGCGAUCAGACUGAGCUUCGGAGCAGUACCCAAACCCCAGCUGAAACCCCAAGUGGGUACUGCUCCAUUUUCCCUUGGCUUUCGAGCUCCCCCGCCCGCCAUGGGAGCCAAGAACUUGACCAAUUCCUUAAAUAUCUUGAUCUUGAUCUGUCCCCUCCUGGGAGGGAGCCUUCGAUUUCGGCUGUGCUUGGACUUGGAACCUGGGAUUUCCAGUUUUUUCGAAUUCGACAUGAUGAAUCUGAAGGGUGAGGACAAGAGAAGAAGAACAGAGGAAAACAGAGUGUUUAUUUGGAGGCUUUUUCUCUCUCUAGAGUCUAGAGAGAGGGGAUGAGCAAAAAGAGAAUUUUCUUGGACGGAAAAGAAAGAGAGUGAAUUGUUGUAACAAAGUGAAUGCGCUUUGGGGAUUUUGAGGGGAUGGUUUUAUAGAGGCAUUUUGCAUUUUGUUGCACAAGACUCAGCUUGCUGACUUAGAGCAUCUAGAGGCACUUUGCAUUUGUUGCAUAAGACUUAGCUUCCUCACUAAGACAUUCUAGAAGCAUAUGUGGAGUCUGUAGAUAAAACUGCGCAAGUACAUAAAACUCCGCAAUCAAGCUAUUUUUCGUAUGCCGGAAAAGGACAUAUUCUUUUUAAAUUUUACGUUGGUAGCCUAUUUGAAGAAAACAAAGAGUUCACAAGAGUGACUUUUGUUGAUGGAGCCGUUUUGAACUAGAUUGUUUGUUCAAUGUUUAACGUAUGAUGUAUGCGUUUUUAUUUGAGUUUUAAAAAAAAUUCUAUCGUUUGAAUAAAAAAAAAUGUAAAAGUUGCAUGUUUUACCACUAGAGUUUGCGAUUCUUGUCAAAAGAUGAAUUUUUUAUAUAAUAAAAUUUGUUCUUUGACAAUAUAUAUAUAUAUAUAUAUAUAUAUAUAUAUAUAUAUAUAUAUAUAUAUAUAUAUAUAUAUUAAAAUUUGUUGGGCGUUUAAAUAUAAAGAUAGAAAAUCUUCCUUUACCUCGUUUCUCUUUUAUUGUUGGAGUCUUAACUAUCACCACAUUAAUAAAGGUUCAUUUUGUCACCUAAAUGUCAAACGAAUUAAAAUAUCAUAUCGUAGGAUUGAAGAGAGAAGGGGGGGGGGGCACUCUUAUUUAUUUAUUUUUUAACAUAAAUAUUAUUGAUUCAAAAUAUAAAUGGUUCUGAUCAUAAAUCAUAAGCACAAAACUCUGUGAUUAAAACACUAAGAGUUUUGAGUAGGAGCUCCUACUUAUCUUUGAGUAGCCAAAUUUUGUUCUUUAUAUAACUCUUUGGACGUUCUAUAUUUGGUUGUAUAAAUAUCUUUUGUCAAUGUACUAGAUUUCUGACUAGUGGUAAAUGACGAAUUAUGAGGCUUCCUUAAAACAAAAAACCGGAGGUCUCGGGUUCGAAACCCGCUGCUGGUGUGGAAGCUAGACUUGUGGCCAGGGGAGAUUGAAAUGUCUAUGUGAGUCUUCCCGACCCCCGAAAAAAAUCGAUAAUCAUGGCUUGCCACUAGUUGUUCUCAUUUUUAAAGGAAAAAAAAAUGUACGAGACUUGUGAGGGAAAUGUCAAUACACACAUGGGAUUAAUUAGUCAAUCCUUCACACUAUUAUAUAACGUUGGACUUUAAUUGAGUUUCGGAUAACAAUAACGUUGGACUUCAAUUGAAUUUAUUCCUCCCACAUCAUUAUUUUCUACUCCUGCAUAUACCGCAACGUGCAUGUUCCAUGUACACAAGUCCUUUUAGGGGGAGACUAAUUUGUUUGGGAACAAUUACAAUUGGCCGUCUAAUUUUGAUUUGUAUUGUGUCACAUGAUUGAUUGUCACUCAUUUACAACGUAAUUAGUUGUCACUAACACACGCAUGAUCGAUUGUCCUUACAAGCAAAACAACAUGGCUAGAUCCCAUAACUCCCUAAUAUAUGGAAGAAUGGGAUCCCUAUUCAACUUCAUGUGAUGCAAGCAUAUUGUGAUCCCUCCUCCCUGUGAUGUUUUUUCUUUUCAUUUACAAGAAACGAUAGUGGUAUUUCAUUGAUCAUCAUAAACAAAUACAAGGGUGCUAAUUGGGUACAUUGCUCUAGUGACCAAUACAUUGAUCUGGAGUGAAUUUGCACAAACAAGCGAUUAAUUAAAACCCCUACACGACUACUACAAUCAAAGUGCACCAAUACAAAUUUGUCACAAAAACGAUACGCAACAAACCAAUACUAGUGUAGUGGCUCACUGCAUGACAUAUGCGACACAUAAGCAUCGAUCAUUCCCUAAUUUUCUUUCAGAAGGAUAAUGAAAGUGACAAAUAAUUAAAGAGAGAGUUGCUUAUUCUAAUCUGAUGGUUAGCAUUAGCUAAUAAGUCGUUUGAUUUGUUUGUUUAAUCAAAUGAAAUUUCAACCCGUAUUACAAAAGCCUUGGUGUUAAGACAAAUUCUUCAUUCGCAUAAAGAUUUAGAACGUAGUAGUACACAUCGAAGGAGACUCGAAGACCGAAAAGACUAGCAGUACAACAUCAUGUCCAGAUUCAUUGCCGGAUUCAGUCAAAUUCUUAAAGAAGAUAAUAUCUUUUAAAAAAAUGACAUUACAAAUACAUAUCAUGAAGAACUCAAUUCUAAAAGGGUAAUUGCAAACUAGAUUUAAAAUAUUGCAAUGAAGUAUCAGCAAAUCACUGUCACGAUCCUAGAACACCAAGUGAAGAAGAUUACGCAAAUCAAACAGCUCCACCAUUCAAACAUAAAUUCACAGGAGAUGUAGCACACCGAAACAAAGUAAAUGGAAAGGAAGAGAGGAGAAAUACCAAAAAUGAUUGUCAAGAUGAUUUCCACCAACUCCAACAAAGCCAAAACAAGGAGGCGACAGAUAAUUUUUCUCUGAUUUUUGCUUCAGACGUCUAGGGUUUUUAUGUAUGUUUUUUGUUUGGUAAAUGAGCCUAGGAAAAAAAGAUAAGAAACAAGCUAAGCAAUUGUUAACACUUGAGUUUUAUCCAUAUACCUUAAUUUAUAUCACCAAGCAUCAUUAAGCACCCUUUGGAAUUUAGAGGGGCAAUUAAUGUGAAGUGUGAACCGAAACAAACAUUUCCAAACGACUUCAAAUUUUAGCUUUGCCUAUAUUAGCAGCCUAAUUUGUCUUCAUACUUUCUCAAUCUUUGUCGCACACCAAUUAGACACGUAGUCCCAAAGCCAUUGACUAAUCACGAAUUGAAUACAAGUUCUUUAGACGAAAAUCCAUUGACUAAUCAAUCACUUGAAUACAAUUUCUUCUUAAUCGUUGCCUAAAAAGACAAUGUUUUAAUCUAAGAUAAUUCCUUAAUUACAAUCCGUCAAAUGGUGACGGGUGACACCCUUGAUGACUCGUUCGGUCUCGAUGAGUCAUAUGCCAUUUGUAAGAUUUGUGAGACACAUGGCGCAUGCAUGCCACUUAAGUCGUGAAUAUCAAAAUUUAAUGUGUUGGUGAGUAUUCAUAGCACCGAAAUUUACAUGUCUACACUAAACUUUGAGCUUUUUCAAGUAUCUAAUAAUUUAACAAACAUUUUUUUGUGCCUACAACCAUCUUUUCAUCUUUCCCUACAAAAAAAUUUGGAAUAAAUGAUUAGAAAGCGACCACCAAGACAUAACUAGUUGGAUAAUUGUGUACCAAUAAGAUCCCAUUGAUUUCCUCAAUUAACUUAGAAAGUUUCCAAAUUAUACUAAUCUUGUUGUUAAUCACCUUAUCCUAAAACGCGCUAAAAUUCCCGCAUACAUAGAAUAAAAGGAAAAUAAGUUCCAACCAAAUCAAAUUCAUUGAACACAAGAACUAGCAACUACCAAAUACCAACUAGUCAAAGUACAUGAGACUUAGAUUCCUCUAAUCUUUAUCCGUGUGCUGAGUGGGAGUUGGAAAUGAAUGUAAGUAUUGAAGUUACUUUGCACGAUGUGCAUCAAAAUUGGAGUGGUUCGAGUUCCUUUAUGUGCAAUUGUAAUGAAGUGGCUCACUUAAUAAUUUUCUUUGUCACUUUUUAAUUUUCUCGGUCUAGAUUUGAACGUUUUUAUUAAAAUUUAAUAAAUUCAUAGUAUUGGCCCCAAAAUGUAUAUUAAGAUUGUUAGGGUUUUUUUGAAAGAAACAAAAAUUAAGAAAGUUAAAUAAACAAGGGGCUUUUAGCAUUAAACCCCCAAAAGACAAACACUUUUUCGCAAUCGAUCCCUGUUUAUAAGGAAAUGAUUUCAGCAUAUUAUUUUUAACUUUCUGCAUAUAAUGUUUAGUUUUGACCUUUGAUCAUUCAAUUUAACAUUGAAAAUAAAAAGGGGCGGGCAAUAAGAGAAAAGUUGAGUCUUGAAGGCGCUUUCCCUAAUAUUAUAUAUAUUUAAUCCCUCCAUUUGUUUGGGCAUUUAACAAUAAUCCUUCAAUUUAAGAACCAAAAAUUAUUUAUAAUCACUAUUUUAGGCUUAAAAAGACGGAAUUAUUGUGGUAGGUGCAUUAACUAUAUCUUUAACAAUUUUAGGAUAAGGAAAAUUAGAGCAUCAUCAAUCACCCAGAACACAAGCCGGUAAAUUACAUAUUAUAAUAUAAGUGAUAAUAUGAAAUAUUUUUGCAUUGUAUCAUCAUUUAUAUUAUAACACAUAGUGUAAUGUCUUGUGUUUUGUGUACGUUGAAAAAUGUCCGAAUACGACCGAUCAAAGGUACCAAAAGCUGCUUUGUACCCAACAAGGGGCUGUUAUUUUACUGAAAUUAAUGCUCAAAUCCAACUCCCAACAUACCAAGCAACACAGAUCUGGCGAUAAAAUUGGAAGGUAAAGUAUUUUAUUUGAACAAAAUGGGUACAUUGAAAACACAGUAAAAUUACAAAGCUGAAAAACAGCCACUUCUUGUUCUAAAUCACUGUAAUACUAAACAAAACGCUGAAGGCCUACAUCACUUCUGCAGCAAAAUCUAAAUCGCCUACGGGCACACACCAACGCAGCAAACCCACUUCCCCAAAUUUCUCUCUUAACCCCCAACCUCAAUGCCUCAUGUCCGAGAAAUUCUGAAUAUAAAUUUCGUGUCACGUCAUAUGCUCAAGACACACACUAAGAAAGAUUCGUGCAUUCAGGUCUUCCAAAGUGGGUCCAUGUGGUACUGGUACCUGAAUGCAAUGAGGUCCCUCUUCGCGUGUCUUGUGUAGACGGGUGAUGCGGAACAGAAUUCCUUCCCAUAAACUCAAAACCAAAUAAAUUAAAAAAAUUAACAAAACUAUAGUAUACAAAGUUAACAAGAAGCUCACUUUUCAGAAAAUGAGGGAUCCGGAGCGAUCAGACUGAGCUUCGGAGCAGUACCCAAACCCCAGCUGAAACCCCAAGUGGGUACUGCUCCAUUUUCCCUCGGCUUUCGAGCUCCCCCGCCGGCCAUGGGAGCCAAGAACUUGACCAAUUCCUUAAAUAUCUUGAUCUUGAUCUGUCCCCUCCUGGGAGGGAGCCUUCGAUUUCGGCCGUGCUUGGACUUGGAAC
This 5779-nucleotide long non-coding RNA is filed under the name Malus domestica (apple). RNAcentral's name for it is "long non-coding RNA (MDOM_LNC002508)". The record is from RNAcentral. Lineage: Eukaryota; Viridiplantae; Streptophyta; Magnoliopsida; Rosales; Rosaceae.